AUGCAUUCCUUCCAGUAUCUGUGGUUUGCCUACCCUGGUAAGACGUUAUGUCCCAUCUUGAGGAUAAGAAGGAUCCCAUUCAAUGAGGAUGUUUUUGCUACCAGAGUGAAAAGGACGAACAGUAAUGACAAAGACAUAACAGAAUUACAAGAACAAAUUCACAAACUUCUCUUGCA
RNAcentral lists this long non-coding RNA (176 nucleotides) under Fukomys damarensis (Damara mole-rat). Its description in RNAcentral is "lncRNA (ENSFDAG00000025676.1)". The record is from RNAcentral. Lineage: Eukaryota; Metazoa; Chordata; Mammalia; Rodentia; Bathyergidae.